CCAAGGUAACACAAACACAUCAUAAGCAGGAACAAAGUAGUCAUAUACAACAGAUAGCACUAGAGUUUUAAGCUCACAAAGAGCUUCACCAAAAUAUCCAUCCAGAGCAAAAACACAAAAUAACAUGACAUUGUUUCAACAGUGAUCAAAGUAAAAUGGAAUGGUUAAGAUGUUGAAGGAGAAGGGUGGGAUAAAGGUUGGGUCAUGGCAAGGAGUUGGAGAACACGAUCCAUACGGGCAUUGGACUCACUUUAUUGCUGCACCAGCGGAUCCUUUAAUCAAGCAACUUUUCCCUGAGACAUAGCUAGAGCAUUGCGAGAAGCUUCAAGUUCAGCACGGAGGGUCUCAUUCUGUUCCUUGGCAGCAUGUAGGUCAGAGGCGGAUGUACAGUGUGCCGAGGGGGUUCAUCCGAACCCCCUCGAUAAAAAAAUUACACUGCAUAUAUAAGAUUGAUUUUUUUGUUUACGUGUAUAUAUUUAAAAUUGAACCCCCUGAGCAUAUGUCAAAGGAGUAGCUUAAUGGUAAACUGGGUUCAAGAAAGCGCGUUUUGUGGGCUUGGUCGCGGGUUUGAAUCCAGCGAGCAGCAACCUUUUUUUUCUAAUUUUGAAGCAUUUUUGCUGGCUUAAAUUUUAAAUGUUUUUAUUAAAAAUAAAUAGAAAGACGACAUUUCAUUAAUGACUAAAUUUUUUAUAUUUUAAAUCUUUAAUUGAAAAGUCAACAAAUAAAAAAUCCUCUNNNNNNNNNNNNNNNNNNNNNNUGAUUCGAUCAUUGAUGGCAACCUCGGUAAGUUCUUGUAUUUUUUGUUUUUUUUUAAAAAAAAAUCAGAAUUCUAUAUGUGCAGUGUGCCAAAAAGAAUUUUUGUGAGUUUUUGCUUUGAUUUGUGUUUAUUGUCAGUCUUUCUAAUGUUAAAUUUGUGCUUGCUCUCCAUUUGCACUUUCAGGAGCCGGAGACAAUUCUAAAGGAAUUGAAGAACUUGUAGAAUUUUUGAAUGAGUUGUGCUACUUUAUUAUCAUUUUAUAGAUAUGUACUUUGAAUUUGUUUCUUAUGAUAAGUUGUAAUUGUAAGAAAUUAUUUGAACUAAGGAUUUUUUUGUCAACCCGUUUGUUAUUCAAUCCGUUCAUAUAUGAUCCGACCCGACCCGUUUAUUUAUGGAUAUUAUUAGUGUGAUUAAUUUUUUUUUGAACCCCCUCGAUAGAAUUCCUGGCUCCGCCACUGAUGUAGGUGGUUCAACAGAGUGGAAGCUGGGCCAAGAACACGGGGUGGAGUAGCAGGAGCCUGAUUACCUUCAUCAUACAACCGGCAAGUAGCAAGAGUAGAUCUGGUGAUCAUAUCACAACUAACCAAAGCCCUCCCCUCGCCCAAGGGGACAUCAAAAGUUGUAAACAUAGUGGUGAUGAGAUUUCCAAAAGCCAAUUGAUGAGCACUAGGUUUAGGAUCAGUUACCCUAGCCAUAUGUUUAAUCAUCAGGGAUAGACAGUCUAUAGGAUCCUUAUUCUCCAAAGCAUGUGCAAUCCCCAUAUCCCUUAAAGAGGCCUCAUGCCUCCUCUUACCCCUAGGAAAAACACCCUGAUGGACAAAUUCAAACAACAGUUUGUGAACUGGGGACAUCUC
RNAcentral lists this long non-coding RNA (1611 nucleotides) under Solanum tuberosum (potato). Its description in RNAcentral is "long non-coding RNA (STUB_LNC010069)". The record is from RNAcentral. Lineage: Eukaryota; Viridiplantae; Streptophyta; Magnoliopsida; Solanales; Solanaceae.